AGUGAACGCUGGCGGUAGGCCUAACACAUGCAAGUCGAACGGCAGCACAGUAAGAGCUUGCUCUUACGGGUGGCGAGUGGCGGACGGGUGAGGUAUACAUCGGACUCUACUUUUUCGUGGGGGAUAACGUAGGGAAACUUACGCUAAUACCGCAUACGACCUACGGGUGAAAGCAGGGGAUCUUCGGACCUUGCGCGAUUGAAUGAGCCGAUGUCGGAUUAGCUAGUUGGCGGGGUAACGGCCCACCAAGGCGACGAUCCGUAGCUGGUCUGAGAGGAUGAUCAGCCACACUGGAACUGAGACACGGUCCAGACUCCUACGGGAGGCAGCAGUGGGGAAUAUUGGACAAUGGGCGCAAGCCUGAUCCAGCCAUACCGCGUGGGUGAAGAAGGCCUUCGGGUUGUAAAGCCCUUUUGUUGGGGAAGAAAAGAAGCAGGUUAAUACCCCGCUGUUCUGACGGUACCCAAAGAAUAAGCACCGGCUAACUUCGUG
RNAcentral lists this ribosomal RNA (492 nucleotides) under uncultured bacterium. RNAcentral describes it as "partial 16S ribosomal RNA". It matches the Rfam family "Bacterial small subunit ribosomal RNA", at positions 29 to 507 of the family's 1533-position model. The record is from RNAcentral.